This 253-nucleotide ribosomal RNA is filed under the name uncultured bacterium. Its description in RNAcentral is "partial 16S ribosomal RNA". It matches the Rfam family "Bacterial small subunit ribosomal RNA", at positions 524 to 776 of the family's 1533-position model. The record is from RNAcentral.
UUCGUAGGGUGCAAGCGUUAAUCGGAAUUACUGGGCGUAAAGCGUGCGCAGGCGGUGAUGUAAGACAGAUGUGAAAUCCCCGGGCUCAACCUGGGAACUGCAUUUGUGACUGCAUCGCUGGAGUGCGGCAGAGGGGGAUGGAAUUCCGCGUGUAGCAGUGAAAUGCGUAGAUAUGCGGAGGAACACCGAUGGCGAAGGCAAUCCCCUGGGCCUGCACUGACGCUCAUGCACGAAAGCGUGGGGAGCAAACAGG